UGAGGAAUAUUGGUCAAUGGACGCAAGUCUGAACCAGCCAAGUAGCGUGCAGGAUGACGGCCCUAUGGGUUGUAAACUGCUUUUAUAUGGGGAUAAAGUGUGGAACGUGUUUCCUUUUGCAGGUACCAUAUGAAUAAGGACCGGCUAAUUCCGUUCCAGCAGCCGCGGUAAUACGGAAGGUUCGGGCGUUAUCCGGAUUUAUUGGGUUUAAAGGGAGCGUAGGCCGUUUGGUAAGCGUGUUGUGAACUGUAGGAGCUCAACUUCUAGAUUGCAGCGCGAACUGUCCGACUUGAGUGCGCACAACGUAGGCGGAAUUCAUGGUGUAGCGGUGAAAUGCUUAGAUAUCAUGAAGAACUCCGAUUGCGAAGGCAGCUUACGGGAGCGCAACUGACGCUGAAGCUCGAAGGUGCGGGUAUCGAACAGG
This 424-nucleotide ribosomal RNA is filed under the name Verrucomicrobiota bacterium. Its description in RNAcentral is "Verrucomicrobia bacterium partial 16S ribosomal RNA". It matches the Rfam family "Bacterial small subunit ribosomal RNA", at positions 355 to 776 of the family's 1533-position model. Lineage: Bacteria; Pseudomonadati; Verrucomicrobiota. The record is from RNAcentral.